GAGCCGCCCCUGCACUGGUUGGCUGCUGAGCCCUUUGCCUCCUCGGUUGGGGAUCCUGCGUCCAGAGGAAAUGGGCCUUGGCCAGAGGAAGGACAAAUGAAGAACUCAGGAGCCCAUAGGACCAGGACCAAGGGGGCCACUCACCCCCCAGCUUCCCUGAAGAGGAGGAGAAACAGAGGAUGGAAAAAGCCAACAGGAAGGAACUGGGCCGGACCACCUACAGGCACUCUUGGACGUCCUGGGGCAUCCUCGGUGCUGGGCUGCCGCUAAUGAUGUCGUAAGGAAAUGCACACAUGCUUCCAAGGAGAAAUACACUAAGACACGCAUCACAUCCCAGACCCCCUGGGGCAGCAGGAACUCACUGGAACUCACGUGUCCCCUGCAUUAGUAGGCAGAUUCUCAACCACUGUGCCACCAGAAGGAGCCAGCCUUACCCCUUGGAUAUCCAGCUCACACUGAAGCAGGAACCUCUUCAACUUAGGAGUCACAGACCCAGGAAGACCCUUGGCACCUCUCUGGGCAAGGCACACUAUCAGCAGAGUAAGAGACAAAGGCCCCAGGCUGCCUGGAACCCUGUUACCCCGCCGACUCCUCUACUCUCCACUCCAGCCCCCCUGGCUUCCUUCAGAUUCCUCAAGCAGGAAGUGCACUCCCACCCCUGGGCCUUUGCACCAGCUGUGCCCUCCGCCUGGAACGCUCUUCCCAUGAUGUGCACCCGGCUCACUCCCUCACCCGUCAAGCCCUUGCUCAAAUGCUACCUUCUCACUGAAGCCAACCACAGCCUCACUCUUUAUAAUGCCCCCCUCGGGGACUUCCCUGGCGGUCCAAUGGUUAAGACUCUGCGCUUCCACUGCAGGGGGCACGGGUUGGAUUCCUGGUUGGGGAACUUUUUUUUUUCUGUAGCACUUGGUACCUAAUAUACUAGCUCAGAGGUCGGUAGACUGUGGUCCAUGGCCAAAUCCAACCUGUGUCCUGCUUUUGGAUGGCCUGCAAGCUAAGAAUGGCUUUUACUGUUUAAAGGAUUCUUAACAAAAACAAAAAACAAAGGCUACGUGAGAGACCAUCGGGCUACAAAUCCUGAACACAUCACUCUCAGGCCCUUUAUAGGAAGGCCUGCCGCCCCUGAGGGUAGAUAACCUGGUCACUGUGUUCAGUGAACGUCUCCCUGCUCAGCCAUGGCCUUCGUGAGGGCCAGGAUCUAUCCCACUCACCGCUGCGUCUGCACACCUAAAACAGCGCCUGCUCAAAGAGAGUGCUCAUAAAAUAUCCGCGGAAUGAAGAAUAAGCCUCAGUUUCCUUAUCCGUAAAAUGGGGCUGAAAAUGUUUCUAUGGCAGGGCUGUCAGGGGAGCAGAUGAGACGGAGGGUGUGCCUGGCGUGGGGCAAGACCGCAGAGGGGACAAGUUACCUGGCUGAGAAGCUGUACAUGUCCAACAAGGGUUUGCAGAGCCGCCUCAGUGCCUGUGAGAACACAGCUUCAGCCCAAGACAGCAUCUGGUGGGUGGCCUGGAGCAGGUGGGGGCAGUGAGAGCCGUCAGGGCCAUCCCUGCCUGCAGGGCCGCCUCCCUCCCCCUCGCCCCACCUCACCAGCUCCAGGGCGCCCCUCGUGGCCUCCAGCGCUGCCGCGAUGGGCCCGGACCCCCAGGUCCCCGGCGUCCCGGACACCCAGGCCUGCAGCCGCUGCACGGCCUCCUCGGCCCGCUCCUGCCACACCUCGUCCAGGGGCUGCACUGUCACCUCCAAGUAGGCGUCCUUCAGCGUGGCCAGGGGCUCUGCAAAGGCAGCCACCACGCACCGUGAGGCCUCCCGGCCCUGGUGGCAGGUGAGAUGCCGCUACCCGCAUCCCCGGCCCACACAGGAAAACCAGCCCCCCGACGACCCGGGCCUCCAGGAAGGAAAUAGGGCCUGUGACCUGGAAUGAGGUGGUGGCACUAGAGACUGGAAAAGAGUUAGCCCGGCAGGCCUGAGACUGCCCGACUGCAAGGCCUGUUCACAGGUCAGCCCUGGCUGGAUUCUGGGGGGUUCCCACCAUUCCCAGACCUGAUAAGAGGGCCUCACUGUGCCUGGAUUGCACGAGCAAAGUGGUUUAUGCUGAACACCCCCUUUCCUUCUGCGAGUCUGGAAUGUUGGUCUGUGCCAGGCAGAGGCUCCUACGUGACCAGCCUCCAG
Long non-coding RNA from Balaenoptera ricei (Rice's whale), 2167 nucleotides. RefSeq lists it as uncharacterized. The transcript is spliced from 4 exons. The record is from RefSeq and is a predicted model, not a curated record. Lineage: Eukaryota; Metazoa; Chordata; Mammalia; Artiodactyla; Balaenopteridae.